CUUGUAGUAGAAAUGUAUAGCCUUGGACAUAAAGGCUACGGCAAAUAGCAAGCGGGAUCACAUUUUUUGCUAUCUGGGAUCCCAUCCCUGCAUUGAGGUAUGUUUUCUGACCCAUACCUCAAGCCAGCUCCAUUGUGUCGUAAUGUAACCAUGAUUGCGUUCCGACACCAGCGCAGCUCAGUGUAAACAAGCAUAAGGUAGAGUCGGAACCUGCUGGCUAGUUAUCUAAUUACUUGAUACCUGCAAUCUAAAUUACAGUACAACCAUUAAAAACUACAUUUGCCACACUUACCCUCUGGUAUUUUUUAUUUAACUAGGCAAGUCAGUUAAGAACAAAGUCUUAUCAACAAUGAUGGCUUACCGGUGAACAGUGGGUUAACUGCCUUGUUCAGGGGCAGAAUGACAGAUUUUCUUUUUUACCUUAUCAGCUCGGGGAUUUGAUCCGGCAACCUUUUGGUUACUGGACCAACGCUCUAACCACUAGGCUACCUGAUGCCCUAAACUGUUGUCUGAAAUGCAUUUAUUCUCGAAGGUGGCCAAAUUACGGUUUUCAAAGGAAUAAUCACUGCACUGGUCUCCCAAACAUCUGUCAACCAUUUUUGACACCAUUGGUUGCCAAGUAUUAACCGUCAACACGCACCUGCGCUGUGCAGAAUUUAUGGGAUGCUCGAGCUAGUAAAACACACACCACUCUUUAAAAAAUGUUUUAUUCAACCUUUAUUUAACUAAGAAAGUCAGUUAAGAAGAAAUGCUUAUUUACAAUGACGGCCUACUCCAGCCAAUCCCUAACCCGGAUGACGCUGGGCCAAUUGUGCACCGCCCUAUGGGACACCCAAUUAGGGUUGCAAAUGUAACAGUGUAGGUUCCGUCCCUCUCUUCGCCCCAACCUGGGCUCGAACCAGGGACCCUUGCACACAUCAACAACUGACACCCCCCGAAGCAUCUAACUAGCCAUUUCACAUCGGUUACACAAAGGAUCGGAAACUUUCCGGUAAAUUUCCAGAAUUAUUCCGGAAAUUUUCCAUGGGAAGUUAAGCCCUGGAAUUUGGUGCACUCUUCCAUCACAUGUACAGCGGAUUCUCAAGAUCUUGCACACUAAUGAGAUGCUAUUGAGCCCACACUACUACACUGUCUGAGCCAACGACUACAUGCUUUCUGGAAAAUGCCACGGGCACUAUGUGAUGUGUGGAGACAUUUCACUGCAGCUAAUGUAGAAGGAAAGCUGUGUACAUUUGCAAAUACAAACCAAAUCAUAUGUGAAGAAUGCAACAAUGAUGCAGAAUAAUCUGGCCAAGUGCAUAAAGUUCCCUCAGCACUCACAACCUCUGACAAAAGUCCCUAUACUUCUAUUUGAGGUGAAAAUGAUGAAUCAGACACCUUAUCGAUAGCAACAGCUCAUGGUCCUCCUGGAAUGUCUUGCUCGAGCUGUGUAUGCAACUGGUUCACCUCUGAUGCUCAAAGACCAUGUGUAUUGGAAGAGAUUUCUGAAUGUUCUUUGCUCAGCAUACACACCUCCAACCAGACAUGCUUUAUCUACUAAUUUGCUGGAUGCAGAGUUCAAGUGAAGGUCAAGCAAAUCAUAGCGAAAGCAGUCUGUAUUGCAAUCAUCUCUGAUGGGUGGACGAAUGUUUGUGGGCAAGGAAUAAUUAACUACAUCAUCUCCACCCCUCAACCAGUAUUCUAUAAGAGCACAGACACAAGGGACAACAGACACACCAGUCUCUACAUUGCAGAUGAGCUGAAGGCAGUCAUCAAUGACCUUGGACCACAGAAGGUAUUUGCACUGGUGACAGGAAAUGCUGCGAACAUGAAGGCUGCUUGGUCUAAAGUGGAGGAGUCCUACCCUCACAUCACACCCAUUGGCUGUGCUGCUCAUGCAUUAAAUCUACUCCUCAAGGACAUCAUGGCACUGAAAACAAUGGAUACACUACAAGAGAGCCAAGGAAAUGGUUAGGUAUGUGAAGGGUCAUCAAGUUAUAGCAGCAAUCUACCUCACCAAGCAAAGUGAGAAGAAUAAGAGCACUACAUUGAAGCUGCCCAGCAACACCCGUUGGGGUGGUGUUGUCAUCAUGUUUGACAGUCUCCUGGAGGGGAAGGAGUCUCUCCAAGAAAUGGCCAUGUGGACAGCCCCAUCAGGAGGAUCCUCCUGGAUGAUGUACUUUGGGAGAGAGUGGUAAGCAGCCUGAAACCUAUAGCAGUAGUCAUUGCACGUAUUGAGGGAGACAAUGCCAUUCUGUCUGAUGUUCAGACUCUGCUUGCAGAUGUAAGAGAAGAAAUCCGUACUGCCCUGCCCACUUCACUGUUGCUCCAAGCAGAGGAAACUGCAGUUCUGAAAUACAUCAAAAAGCGUGAAGACUUCUGCCUGAAGCCCAUAUACGCCGCAGCGUACAUGUUGGACCCCAAGUAUGCUGGCAAGAGCAUCCUGUCUGGUGCAGAGAUCAACAAGGCCUAUGGUGUCAUCACUACCGUGUCUCACUACCUUGGCCUGGAUGAGGUCGAGGUUCUUGGCAGUCUGGCGAUGUACACUUCCAAGCAAGGGUUUUGGGAUGGAGAUACAAUAUGGCAGUCGUGCCAACAUAUCUCAUCAGCCACCUGGUGGAAGGGACUUUGUGGAUCUGAGGCUCUUUCCCCUGUUGCCUCCAUCAUCCUCCAAAUCCCAGCAACAUCAGCCGCCUCAGAGCGCAACUGGUCCUUGUUUGGGAACACGCACACCAAAGCACGCAACAGGCUGACCAAUACAUGGGUUGAAAAAUUGGUAGCCAUCCUGGCAAAUUUGAGGCUUUUUGAGCCUGACAAGGUUGGAAAGUGACAGUGAAGAUGAGGCCUCAGAGUCUGAUGUUCAAGAGGUGGACAUUGAGGAGGUCCAGGGAGAAGACAUGGAAGCCUGAGAGGAAGACAACCAAAGCUUUAGUUUCUAGACUAUCAUUUUACAGAUGUAUGUUGAAAACGUUUUUGGGAGAUGCGAUGGAUCACUGGGGAUCAUUCAAUAUUCCCUUUCUUUUGUUGUUCAGUGAAAUCAUCCCAUGUGAAGAGUCAACUCAUUUAAUUAAAGUUCAAUUCGUAACUAAA
This 3069-nucleotide long non-coding RNA is filed under the name Salmo salar (Atlantic salmon). RNAcentral's name for it is "lncRNA (ENSSSAG00000090713.1)". Lineage: Eukaryota; Metazoa; Chordata; Actinopteri; Salmoniformes; Salmonidae. The record is from RNAcentral.